CCUACGGGGGGCAGCAGUGAGGAAUAUUGGUCAAUGGGCGCGCGCCUGAACCAGCCAAGUCGCGUGAGGGAUGAAUGUUCUAUGGAUCGUAAACCUCUUUUAUAUGUGGAUAAAGUGUGGGACGUAUCCUAUUUUUUAUGUACCUUAUGAAUAAGGAUCGGCUAACUCCGUGCCAGCAGCCGCUGUAAUACGGCGGAUGCGAGCGGUAUCCGGCUUUAUUUGGUUUAAAGGGUGUGUAGGCGGGCGUUUAAGUUAGUUGGUAAAGUCUGGGGCUCAACCAUAGAAUGGCCGUUGAAACUGGGUGGCUUGAGUACGAGAGAGGCAGGCGGAAUGAGUGGGGUAGCGGUGAAAUGCUGAGAUAUAGCGCAGAACCCCGAUUGCGAAGGCAGCCU
RNAcentral lists this ribosomal RNA (392 nucleotides) under uncultured bacterium. RNAcentral describes it as "partial 16S ribosomal RNA". It matches the Rfam family "Bacterial small subunit ribosomal RNA", at positions 338 to 727 of the family's 1533-position model. The record is from RNAcentral.